GCGUGAUUGCAGAUUCCGUGAAUCAUCGAGUCUUUGAACGCACAUUGCGCCCCCUGGUAUUCCGGGGGGCAUGCCUGUCCGAGCGUCAUUGCUGCCCAUCAAGCACGGCUUGUGUGUUGGGUCGUCGUCCCCUCUCCGGGGGGGACGGGCCCCAAAGGCAGCGGCGGCACCGCGUCCGAUCCUCGAGCGUAUGGGGCUUUGUCACCCGCUCUGUAGGCCCGGCCGGCGCUUGCCGAACGCAAAUCAAUCUUUUCCAGGUUGACCUCGGAUCAGGUAGGGAUACCCGCUGAACUUAAGCAUAUCAAUAAGCGGAGGAA
Molecule: ribosomal RNA, 317 nt
Filed under: Fusarium solani
Lineage: Eukaryota; Fungi; Ascomycota; Sordariomycetes; Hypocreales; Nectriaceae
Description: eukaryotic LSU rRNA
Rfam family: 5.8S ribosomal RNA (bases 1-88)
Source: RNAcentral